UACGUAGGGGGCUAGCGUUGUCCGGAAUCAUUGGGCGUAAAGAGCGUGUAGGCGGCCCGGUAAGUCCGCUGUAAAAAGUCGGGGGCUCAACCCUCGAAAGCCGGUGGAUACUGUCGGGCUAGAGUACGGAAGAGGCGAAUGGAAUUCCUGGUGUAGCGGUGAAAUGCGCAGAUAUCAGGAAGAACACCCGUGGCGAAGGCGGCUCUCUGGGAACGGUACUGACGCUGAGACGCGAAAGCGUGGGGAGCGAACAGG
This 255-nucleotide ribosomal RNA is filed under the name uncultured bacterium. Its description in RNAcentral is "partial 16S ribosomal RNA". It matches the Rfam family "Bacterial small subunit ribosomal RNA", at positions 524 to 776 of the family's 1533-position model. The record is from RNAcentral.